UAAUUUUGCAGCUGUUUUGGUGAUACGUCGGUCAUUCUGCCGUUCGCAUAAAAGGGAAUCCGGUCGGAGUCCGGAACAGUGCCCGCUACUGUGGAACCCGUGAAGAGGAAAAGCAAACUUACACCACUGUCGUCAUUGACGGGAAGGUCGCUUUUCGGGGUGUAGUCAGGAAACCUGCCAAGCAUAAAAGACGAAC
This 196-nucleotide non-coding RNA is filed under the name Tannerella forsythia. RNAcentral also lists the same sequence under 1 other name. The record is from RNAcentral. Lineage: Bacteria; Pseudomonadati; Bacteroidota; Bacteroidia; Bacteroidales; Tannerellaceae.